ACUCCUACGGGAGGCAGCAGUGAGGAAUAUUGGUCAAUGGAGGGAACUCUGAACCAGCCAUCCCGCGUGUAGGAAGACGGCCUUAUGGGUUGUAAACUACUUUUAUAACAGGAAGAAACGUACCCUCGUGAGGGUGCCUGACGGUACUGUAGGAAUAAGCACCGGCUAACUCCGUGCCAGCAGCCGCGGUAAUACGGAGGGUGCGAGCGUUAUCCGGAUUUAUUGGGUUUAAAGGUCCGUAGGCGGGUUAAUAAGUCAGUGGUGAAAUCCCAUCGCUUAACGAUGGAACUGCCAUUGAUACUGUUAGUCUUGAAUGAGGGUGCAGUGGUUGGAAUGUGUAGUGUAGCGGUGAAAUGCAUAGAUAUUACACAGAACACCGAUUGCGAAGGCAGAUCACUAACCCUAAAUUGACGCUGAGGGACGAAAGCGUGGGGGAGCGAACAGGAUUAGAUACCCUGUAGACUGUC
RNAcentral lists this ribosomal RNA (467 nucleotides) under uncultured bacterium. RNAcentral describes it as "bacterial SSU rRNA". It matches the Rfam family "Bacterial small subunit ribosomal RNA", at positions 335 to 798 of the family's 1533-position model. The record is from RNAcentral.